UGGGGAAUCUUGCACAAUGGACGAAAGUCUGAUGCAGCAACGCCGCGUGAGUGAAGAAGGCCCUUGGGUUGUAAAGCUCUUUCGGUCGGGAAGAAGGGGAAACGUGCUAAUACCACGGAGCCUUGACGGUACCGGCAUAAGAAGCACCGGCUAAUCUCGUGCCAGCAGCCGCGGUAAUACGAGAGGUGCAAGCGUUGUUCGGAAUGACUGGGCGUAAAGCGCACGUAGGCGGGCACGUAAGUCAGAUGUGAAAUCCCUGGGCUUAACCUGGGAACUGCAUCUGAAACUGCAUGUCUUGAAUGUCUCAGAGGUUGGUGGAAUUCCAGGUGUAGGAGUGAAAUCCGUAGAUAUCUGGAGGAACAUCGGAGGCGAAGGCGGCCAACUGGGAGUACAUUGACGCUGAGGUGCGAAAGCGUGGGGAGCAAACAG
This 429-nucleotide ribosomal RNA is filed under the name uncultured bacterium. RNAcentral's name for it is "bacterial SSU rRNA". It matches the Rfam family "Bacterial small subunit ribosomal RNA", at positions 355 to 775 of the family's 1533-position model. The record is from RNAcentral.